Ctenopharyngodon idella (grass carp) is the source of this 3540-nucleotide long non-coding RNA. RefSeq lists it as uncharacterized. The record is from RefSeq and is a predicted model, not a curated record. The transcript has 11 exons. Lineage: Eukaryota; Metazoa; Chordata; Actinopteri; Cypriniformes; Xenocyprididae.
UUACGAUGGUCUGGAACACACCAAGAAACUAAACGAAGAAGCAGCAGCUUUGUUAACUUUUCAUCAAGAUGGCGCGACGCUCACGUAAACAAGCUGUCCAGGUGAACAUGGACAGUGAUGAAGAGUUCACCUUUUCCUCGGAAGAAGACGAAGACUUUGAAGAUGAGCGCUUGCAUUUUGAGGAUCGAAUUGAUCCAGUGGAGGAUACCAACGAUGGCAGUUAACGGACGAAAAAAAAAAAAAUGUACCAGUGACUCAUCAAAAAGAGUUUUCCUGCCUUUUUUUCUGACUGUCAGCUGGAUUGCCGUCAUAACGGUGAUAACAUUAACUGUUUGUGGUCUGGAACAUGUCAUCUGCAACAUCGGAGGUGUAUGUUGGAUCCUUUUCAUUGCCAUCAUGGUGACAUCAACUGCUGCCAUUUCCUUGACUGUACACCGCUGCUCUCCACUAACGCACAGAACGGGUGACGCUUUGAGGAGGAGGAAAAAAAGGGAGAGUCUGUUCUCCAAGCAAAAACAUGGAUGCUGACUAUGAAGGGCAGAAUCAUCAUCCAGCCACAACAGCAACAGACUCUUCUUCAGCAUUAUCUGUCCGUUUUGUCGGAAUGCAGAAUUGGGUUCUGAGAAUCAAUCCUGAUGACACCAAAGUCACAGAUCAGAUGGAAAUCUCUAAAGGUCCAAAGAAAAAUCAGCCUGAACCCCUCAUGGUGUUUCUCAUCAGAAAGCUUGUCAACUUUGAUUGCCAAAAUUACUGAAAUGUAACAACACAAACUGACUUUUACUGUAUUUUUAAGGCCUGUAUGUUUUUGCCACAGAUAUAAAUGGUCCCUGGGAGACGGUUGGUGGUGUUGCCUUUUUUUUUCUUCAGCUAGUGGCUCCUAGAGGUCAAGAUUUGUAAUUUGUACUUCUAAAAAAAAAAAAAAAAAAAAAAAGUUUAAAAUUACUAAAAGGAAUAUUAUAAGGACAAAUGUUCAUGAGUUUCAUUUUUGGGGGAGUGGUAAAAAAAAAAAAAAAAAAGGUUUACAAUUCUGUACCGCAAUUGGAUCAUUUUAUACAAGUAAAAAAUAAACUCAACAGUAUACUGGAAAUGACAACAUGAUACUGUAAAUAAAACAAAGUACUGUAAUUGUCAAUACAAUAAUACUGUAAAAUCUUUUACAGUAAAUUAGUCAUUCAGCUGCUAGUAAGUUGCUGUAAAAUUUACAGCAAUCUCUACAGUGUACCUACCGUACCCAUCCACCACACCCAAGAUCCAGUUUCCAUUGGUUGAACUUUCAAAUGACGUUAAAAUACUCUGCGUCAUGAUCGUGAUGCAGUUGGAUCUCAGAAGUCCUGUAGCUUUAGCAUAGUGUAACAAGUUGAAAUCGUCCACUAAUCUCUACAUAGUCUAUGGCAUUUGACUGCACUCUAUGUGUGUGUGUGUGUGUCAAUCAGCUCCCUAGUUCAGCAGUUGGGGCACUGAUUCGGCCAUUUUAAAGGCUGUCUCAAUCUUAAAAUCAUACCAGUGAAAACCCUCAUGGUCUUCCUCCGAGUCCGCACUUUUGUGACGUAAUGCCGCUUUGACUGCCGGGUAAAGUCUUCUGCGUAGCUCGCAAACUUGUGGGCUCAGCUGAAGUGCUCAUCGAGGGUGCAUAGCAGCCACAAAGGGGGCGUUCGCGAGCACCCUUCUGAAACAUAAAAUGAUGAAUGGGACACCUUUUGGUCUCGUGGUCUUAACAGACACGCCAUUGUAAAUCCACAAGAUCGAAAGUGCAUAGAAGUGUGCCAUUUGGGAUUCAGCCUUGGUUCGCUUGACAAAUUCUAAAGCGCAAAAUAUAAAUCACGUGGGCCAACACACAUAAUGUGAUAGAUUUUUUUUAUUUUUAUUUUUUUUUUGUAAAUACAUUUUUUUUUUUUUUUUUUUUUAUAGGGUGUUCACACUUGGCAGGUUUGGUUUGAUAAAAACGAACCCUGGUGCAAUUGCUCUGUUGGUUCAUUUGAAUAAGUGAACGCUGCAAACUAAGUGUGAUUAUCCUUAAUUUAAGGAUAAACUUGCGUUGUUACACAGGUAAUGAACAUAAUCUAGCUAACAUUUAUUAUUUACAGCUGAAAUGUUGCAUGUCUAUAUAACAAGCAAAGUAUCAGAAUGUACUUUAAAUAACAUUAAAAAAAUAAUGAAAGCAGUUCUGCUGUUGUUCAUAUAUAAACCAGUAGUGAUGUUGUACAAUGAGGACAAAUGCUAUGUUCCGUAAAAAAUAGGACAAUUGUCAAAUAAAGAAAUAAAAAAAAAAUAAUCUAACUACAAGAAGCAGCAAAAAUAAAUACAUGAGAGCUAAGAUACAAAUAAAAUAAACAAUGCUUUACAGGUUUUCAGGUACAGAAAUUGAAGUAAUCAAAUAUAAAAUAACACUGCAUUUAAACUUCUUUGAAUAAAUUAAAUAACGAUUAAACAUUAUUGAAGUUACAAAAGCUAUUCAGUCAAGUGUAGUGAGAGAUUUCUUCGUCUUAUGUCGUUUGAUUAACAUUAAAAACAGCAGGAAUAUUAGACUGCUGUCCCUUUAAGACAUAAUUCAAAGAGAUAGAUAUAUAUAUAUAUAUAUAUAUAUAUAUAUAUGUAUAUAUACAUCCUGUUCUGUAUGGUAAGUGUGAAUUCAUAAAACUAUUUUAAAUAAUAUGUUUGCUAGAACAUAAAAUUUGUUCAAUGCAUCUUUUUUUUUUUUUCCCCAAACUAUUUUCUAGCCCGACGUUGUUUCGAGCCGUUUAUUCCCGCUCCAGCUGAAUUCAAAUCUUGCACGCGCUGACAUCCGAGAGAUUUAACUUACACGAUUUAGAAGAAGCCUGCUGGCCUCAGUUAUUGCGUGCUGACAGAAUCCUGCAUUUUCAGACGUUUAUAUCAGAUGAAGCAGACACAACUGUCCUCAGAAGCUUCAAAUACAGCACUGAAGGAAGAGCUGCAGCUGACUUUUGAUUCAUGUGAGGCAGACAAGGACAGAAAAGGCCAGGUGGUAAAUGCUGCCAUUCUUCUCGAAUACUGUUAACUUACUCUUCAAAGAACAGAGUCAUCAAUCAGGAUCCUUUCAUCUGAAAGACUGUGGCAAUGGGGACCCUUUGAACCACCAGUGGCAGUUUCUACAGGAUGAGAAAGGACAUGGUAGAGGAUGACAGGGGUCUUGAUAUCUCACUGACAUUAUCCUGCUGUACUGACUGUAUCACACACACAUACAGUGGUCAAAAGUUUACAUCACAUUGCAGAAUCUGAAAAAUCUUAAAAUAAGAACGAGUUGUUUUUUUCAUUCUUAAUACUGUUGUUACCUAGAUGAUCAAUGAUUGUUUUUUUGUUUGUUUUGUGAUAAUUGUUCAUGAGUCACUUGUAUGUCCUGAGCAGUUAAACUGCACAUUGUUCUUCAGAAAAAUCCUCCAGGUUCCAAAAGUGACUGUAUGAUGUGAUCUAUCUAUUCACACUGAAGACAACUGAGGGGCUGUUGUUGUUCAUUACACUAUGCUUUUAAUUAUUCUGAUAUGGUCAAUUUCACAUUAAAAUGUCUGAUAAAGAAAUUUUAAA